GUCGAACGAGAACGGGUUAUAGCUUGCUAUAAUUGUCAGCUAAGUGGCGCACGGGUGAGUAAUGUAUAGGUAAUAUGCCUUUUACUAAGGGAUAACAGAUGGAAACGUUUGCUAAUACCUUAUACUCCGUUUAUGUAUAAAUGUAAAUGGGAAAGAUUUAUCGGUAAGAGAUUGGCCUGUAUUGUAUCAGUUAGUUGGUGGGGUAAUGGCCUACCAAGACAAUGACGCAUAACUGGUUUGAGAGGAUGAUCAGUCACACUGGAACUGAGACACGGUCCAGACUCCUACGGGAGGCAGCAGUGGGGAAUAUUGCACAAUGGACGGAAGUCUGAUGCAGCAACGCCGCGUGGAGGAUGACACAUUUCGGUGCGUAAACUCCUUUUAUAUAAGAAGAUAAUGACGGUAAUAUAUGAAUAAGCACCGGCUAACUCCGUGCCAGCAGCCGCGGUAAUACGGGGGGUGCAAGCGUUACUCGGAAUCACUGGGCGUAAAGAGCAUGUAGGCGGAUUGAUAAGUUUGAAGUGAAAUCCUAUAGCUUAACUAUAGAACUGCUUUGAAAACUGUUAAUCUAGAAUGUGGGA
Molecule: ribosomal RNA, 581 nt
Filed under: uncultured Campylobacterales bacterium
Lineage: Bacteria; Pseudomonadati; Campylobacterota; Epsilonproteobacteria; Campylobacterales
Description: bacterial SSU rRNA
Rfam family: Bacterial small subunit ribosomal RNA
Source: RNAcentral